This 253-nucleotide ribosomal RNA is filed under the name uncultured bacterium. Its description in RNAcentral is "partial 16S ribosomal RNA". It matches the Rfam family "Bacterial small subunit ribosomal RNA", at positions 524 to 776 of the family's 1533-position model. The record is from RNAcentral.
UACGGGGGGGGCAAGCGUUGUUCGGAAUUACUGGGCGUAAAGGGCGCGUAGGCGGCCUUCUAAGUCGAACGUGAAAUCCCUGGGCUCAACCCAGGAACUGCGUCCGAUACUGGAAGGCUUGAAUCCGGGAGAGGGAUGCGGAAUUCCAGGUGUAGCGGUGAAAUGCGUAGAUAUCUGGAGGAACACCGGUGGCGAAGGCGACAUCCUGGACCGGUAUUGACGCUGAGGCGCGAAAGCCAGGGGAGCAAACGGG